RNAcentral lists this ribosomal RNA (253 nucleotides) under uncultured bacterium. RNAcentral's name for it is "partial 16S ribosomal RNA". It matches the Rfam family "Bacterial small subunit ribosomal RNA", at positions 524 to 776 of the family's 1533-position model. The record is from RNAcentral.
UACGAAGGGGGCUAGCGUUGCUCGGAAUUACUGGGCGUAAAGGGAGCGUAGGCGGACAGUUUAGUCAGAGGUGAAAGCCCAGGGCUCAACCCUGGAAUUGCCUUUGAUACUGAUUGUCUUGAGUAUGGGAGAGGUGUGUGGAACUCCGAGUGUAGAGGUGAAAUUCGUAGAUAUUCGGAAGAACACCGAUGGCGAAGGCAGCCAUCUGGACCGACACUGACGCUGAGGCGCGAAAGCGUGGGGAGCAAACAGG